RNAcentral lists this long non-coding RNA (1997 nucleotides) under Fukomys damarensis (Damara mole-rat). RNAcentral describes it as "lncRNA (ENSFDAG00000024991.1)". The record is from RNAcentral. Lineage: Eukaryota; Metazoa; Chordata; Mammalia; Rodentia; Bathyergidae.
CUUCACUUUCUCACUGGCAGAUGUAUCUUACCUAUUCUUUUUUGUUGACUUCAGCUUUCAAGUCCCAAUAUGGUCAUCUGCUACUUCUUCUUUGAUAAAGCGUUUAUUAUAAUGAGACCAUGAGCAACUUACUGAUUCUCUUAAGUUGGUUUCCUCUUCCUAUGUUGGGACAACUGAAUGAGAUAAAUUCCAGGACCUGGCAGAUGUUGACUAUCAAGAAGGAUGAAGAAACUAGAAACUCAGAACUGAACACGACCAGCCUCAUUGACUGUGGAAGAAGCAGGAUGUGCCUUUGUCUGCUUCUCACAGAAGCCCCUCCUUCCUGCUGGCUUUGUGUAAGACAGCUCACCUGGUAGUAUGGAGUAGUUUCAACUUAAAGUAGAUUUAGUUCUGUAUGUAAUUGGGCAAAUGAGGGUAGAGUAGAGUGAUUUGUUUGUUGUUUCACAGUAUACUCCUAGUGAUGUGAGCUUUAGAAUAUGGUAUGUGGCACAGCUCGCUGCUGAUCUUCGUGUAUGUGGCAAUGUAUAAAAUUCACCAACUUAGUUUUCUGAGGUUGUGUAUAUUUUUAUUGUUUUAUUUUCUACCUUGAUAAAUAGCAAGACUUUUCAAUAUGCUUGGCAAAGAAAAGUCUCAUGGACAUUGUUAUGGAAUUGAUGCUACUUGUUUAAAUCUUUAAGAAACUAUCAAGCUCUAUGGACAAACUUGCUGUGUUUUUUUUGGUAAUGACAAUAUACUUAAGCAAUAAAUCAAAUUCUCACCUAAUUCCUAUUUUCUUGUGAAAUAGAGAUGAAGCUAGGCCCAAACUAGGACUCCUCUUCUAUGUAAAUUACAGCAAACUCUAAGCAUGCCUCCCUGCAAGCCUAACCUGCUCUAUAUGGAAUCAGAGUAUGUAGUAUAGCAGUGUUGUUCAAAGGGUUUCAUCAGGUGGGCUCUGCUAGAGAUGCUGAGUCACCACUUCUGGACUGGACUGCAAAGAGGGUCUUGUGACAGACCCAUCUGUCUUUCAGCAAGCAGUUCUGGGAAUAUGAAAACUAUUCCAAAGUUUGUCCAUUGGCUCUGAUUAUCUUCUCAAUGACACUGCCCUUCUUUAUAUUGUAAUGACUAUUAUGAUAUGAUUGAAAAUAUCAAUCAAGCAAUCAUUGUAUUAAUUAGAAGUGAAAAUUAAAUUAAAUGAAAUAUUUAUAGUGUAUAUUAGGGGUCUGGUUUAUAAUGCCCACAUCAUUCAUCACAUUGUACAGUAAUUGUAUCAUAGUUAUCUUCUCACAUAACUUGUUGCAACAUUUUUGAGAUUAGGAUUGUGUUGCUGGAAUUUUUAUAUUGUGUUUCCUGGCAUAUGGUAGGCAUCUGUUUUAGAAUGAAUGAAGUUAUUACCUUUAUAUAGAAGUGGUAUCACUUUUUAAAAACCAAAGCAGUUUUCUUCUCAGGAGAUUUAGAACUGAUUCAUAUGGAGCUAAAUUAUGGAUAGACUCAAAGUACAGAAUAUUCUUAGAUUAUUUUUUGGACCAUAAACUUUUGAAAGUCUAAUGUUUCCUUCAGAAACAUCAGGUUAAGAAUCUUUAGCUCAGAGAAGUGGUGAAAGGAGCCUAUCUAGUUCGCUAGGCUCCUCUUCCUUUCUGCACCCAAUAAUCCCUUAUUGCAGCUGUCUCCCCCUCAUCCUCCAUCUUCAGCUAGGGUCUUGCUCCUUUAAUGAUCUCUAAUCAUUCAGGGGAUGAUGACCUUUACCUGUGUCUUCUGGGAUUUUUCUGAGUUACUUGCCCUGCCUUAUCAGUGAAUAUAUCUAGUUUAUAAUUCACGACUCCUCCUGACCACCCCUCCUACUGCAACUUUAUGACUAUUUGAACUGACCAACAAUAAACUUUUUCCUAAUGUGCUAGAAGGAUCAACAAGAGGAACAAGUAGAAGACAGAGGACCUCCCUUCAUCUGUACUGCUGACAGUAAGGAUGUCCCAUCCUUCUAAAAAAGAUAAACUAUAUAUAUAUUUCAGAGAACCUGCCCU